CAGCCGCCGCGGUAAUACGUAGGUGGCAAGCGUUGUCCGGAAUUAUUGGGCGUAAAGCGCGCGCAGGCGGAUAGGUCAGUCUGUCUUAAAAGUUCGGGGCUUAACCCCGUGAUGGGAUGGAAACUGCCAAUCUAGAGUAUCGGAGAGGAAAGUGGAAUUCCUAGUGUAGCGGUGAAAUGCGUAGAUAUUAGGAAGGACACCAGUGGCGAAGGCGACUUUCUGGACGAAAACUGACGCUGAGGCGCGAAAGCCAGGGGAGCGAACGGGAUUAGAUACCCCUGUAGUCCCUGUCUCUUAUACA
RNAcentral lists this ribosomal RNA (301 nucleotides) under uncultured bacterium. Its description in RNAcentral is "partial 16S ribosomal RNA". It matches the Rfam family "Bacterial small subunit ribosomal RNA", at positions 509 to 809 of the family's 1533-position model. The record is from RNAcentral.